Molecule: ribosomal RNA, 397 nt
Filed under: uncultured bacterium
Lineage: Bacteria
Description: partial 16S ribosomal RNA
Rfam family: Bacterial small subunit ribosomal RNA
Source: RNAcentral
AUACGUAGGGGGCGAGCGUUGUCCGGAAUGACUGGGCGUAAAGGGCGUGUAGGCGGCCGAUUAAGUCUGGAGUGAAAGUCCCGCUUUCAAGGUGGGAAUUGCUUUGGAGACUGGUUGGCUUGAGUGCGGAAGAGGUAAGUGGAAUUCCCAGUGUAGCGGUGAAAUGCGUAGAGAUUGGGAGGAACACCAGUGGCGAAGGCGACUUACUGGGCCGUAACUGACGCUGAGGCGCGAAAGCGUGGGGAGCGAACAGGAUUAGAUACCCUGGUAGUCCACGCUGUAAACGAUGAAUGCUAGGUGUAGGGGGUAUCGACCCCUCCUGUGCCGGAGUAAACGCAAUAAGCAUUCCGCCUGGGGAGUACGGCCGCAAGGUUGAAACUCAAAUGAAUUGACGGGG